This 301-nucleotide ribosomal RNA is filed under the name uncultured bacterium. Its description in RNAcentral is "partial 16S ribosomal RNA". It matches the Rfam family "Bacterial small subunit ribosomal RNA", at positions 509 to 807 of the family's 1533-position model. The record is from RNAcentral.
CAGCCGCCGCGGUAAUACAGAGGGUGCGAGCGUUAAUCGGAUUUACUGGGCGUAAAGCGUGCGUAGGCGGCUUCUUAAGUUGGAUGUGAAAUCCCUGAGCUUAACUUAGGAAUUGCAUUCGAUACUGGGAAGCUAGAGUAUGGGAGAGGAUGGUAGAAUUCCAGGUGUAGCGGUGAAAUGCGUAGAGAUCUGGAGGAAUACCGAUGGCGAAGGCAGCCAUCUGGCCUAAUACUGACGCUGAGGUACGAAAGCAUGGGGAGCAAACAGGAUUAGAUACCCGGGUAGUCCCUGUCUCUUAUAC